This 367-nucleotide ribosomal RNA is filed under the name uncultured bacterium. RNAcentral describes it as "bacterial SSU rRNA". It matches the Rfam family "Bacterial small subunit ribosomal RNA", at positions 527 to 896 of the family's 1533-position model. The record is from RNAcentral.
GGAGGGUGCAAGCGUUAUCCGGAUUCACUGGGUUUAAAGGGUGCGUAGGUGGAUUGGUAAGUCAGUGGUGAAAUCUCCGGGCUUAACCCGGAAACUGCCAUUGAUACUAUCAGUCUUGAAUAUUGUGGAGGUCAGCGGAAUAUGUCAUGUAGCGGUGAAAUGCUUAGAUAUGACAUAGAACACCAAUUGCGAAGGCAGCUGGCUACGCAUAUAUUGACACUGAGGCACGAAAGCGUGGGGAUCAAACAGGAUUAGAUACCCUGGUAGUCCACGCCCUAAACUAUGGAUACUCGACAUACGCGAUACACUGUGUGUGUCUGAGCGAAAGCAUAAAGUAUCCCACCUGGGAAGUACGAUCGCAAGAUUG